CCAGCAUUUCACAAGAGGGAUAAGCACUAGGGACGGAGCGGAGUUAUUUAAGUUACAGGCCAAUGUUGGCACAAGAACAAAUGGAUAUAAACUGGCCAUCAACAGGCUGAAGUUUGAAAUUAGUCAAAGAUUUCUAACCAUCAGAGGAGUGAAGUUCUGGAACAAACUCCCAAGGGGAG
Molecule: long non-coding RNA, 179 nt
Organism: Chelonia mydas (Green sea turtle)
Lineage: Eukaryota; Metazoa; Chordata; Testudines; Cheloniidae
Exons: 3
Source: RefSeq, a predicted model, not a curated record